Molecule: transfer RNA, 77 nt
Filed under: Acidobacteria bacterium RIFCSPLOWO2_12_FULL_59_11
Lineage: Bacteria; Pseudomonadati; Acidobacteriota
Description: tRNA-Val
Rfam family: tRNA
About the family: Transfer RNA (tRNA) molecules are approximately 80 nucleotides in length. Their secondary structure includes four short double-helical elements and three loops (D, anti-codon, and T loops).
Source: RNAcentral
GGGCGGUUAGCUCAGCCGGUCAGAGCGCCUGCCUUACAAGCAGGAGGUCGCAGGUUCGAGCCCUGCACCGCCCACCA